ACUGAACAUUGAGCCUUGAUGUGUAGGAUAGGUGGGAGGCUUUGAAGUGUGGACGCCAGUCUGCAUGGAGCCGACCUUGAAAUACCACCCUUUAAUGUUUGAUGUUCUAACGUGGACCCGUAAUCCGGGUUGCGGACAGUGUCUGGUGGGUAGUUUGACUGGGGCGGUCUCCUCCUAAAGAGUAACGGAGGAGCACGAAGGUUGGCUAAUCCUGGUCGGACAUCAGGAGGUUAGUGCAAUGGCAUAAGCCAGCUUGACUGCGAGCGUGACGGCGCGAGCAGGUGCGAAAGCAGGUCAUAGUGAUCCGGUGGUUCUGAAUGGAAGGGCCAUCGCUCAACGGAUAAAAGGUACUCCGGGGAUAACAGGCUGAUACCGCCCAAGAGUUCAUAUCGACGGCGGUGUUUGGCACCUCGAUGUCGGCUCAUCACAUCCUGGGGCUGAAGUAGGUCCCAAGGGUAUGGCUGUUCGCCAUUUAAAGUGGUACGCGAGCUGGGUUUAGAACGUCGUGAGACAGUUCGGUCCCUAUCUGCCGUGGGCGCUGGAGAACUGAGGGGGGCUGCUCCUAGUACGAGAGGACCGGAGUGGACGCAUCACUGGUGUUCGGGUUGUCAUGCCAAUGGCACUGCCCGGUAGCUAAAUGCGGAAGAGAUAAGUGCUGAAAGCAUCUAAGCACGAAACUUGCCCCGAGAUGAGUUCUCCCUGAGACUUAGAGUCUCCUGAAGGAACGUUGAAGACGACGACGUUGAUAGGCCGGGUGUGUAAGCGCAGCGAUGCGUUGAGCUAACCGGUACUAAUGAACCGUGAGGCUUAACCUUACAA
This 819-nucleotide ribosomal RNA is filed under the name Salmonella enterica subsp. enterica serovar Mbandaka. Its description in RNAcentral is "partial 23S ribosomal RNA". It matches the Rfam family "Bacterial large subunit ribosomal RNA", at positions 2116 to 2925 of the family's 2925-position model. The record is from RNAcentral. Lineage: Bacteria; Pseudomonadati; Pseudomonadota; Gammaproteobacteria; Enterobacterales; Enterobacteriaceae.